Molecule: ribosomal RNA, 665 nt
Filed under: Klebsiella pneumoniae
Lineage: Bacteria; Pseudomonadati; Pseudomonadota; Gammaproteobacteria; Enterobacterales; Enterobacteriaceae
Also listed under: 1 other name
Description: bacterial SSU rRNA
Rfam family: Bacterial small subunit ribosomal RNA
Source: RNAcentral
GAGUACGGCCGCAAGGUUAAAACUCAAAUGAAUUGACGGGGGCCCGCACAAGCGGUGGAGCAUGUGGUUUAAUUCGAUGCAACGCGAAGAACCUUACCUGGUCUUGACAUCCACAGAACUUUCCAGAGAUGGAUUGGUGCCUUCGGGAACUGUGAGACAGGUGCUGCAUGGCUGUCGUCAGCUCGUGUUGUGAAAUGUUGGGUUAAGUCCCGCAACGAGCGCAACCCUUAUCCUUUGUUGCCAGCGGUCCGGCCGGGAACUCAAAGGAGACUGCCAGUGAUAAACUGGAGGAAGGUGGGGAUGACGUCAAGUCAUCAUGGCCCUUACGACCAGGGCUACACACGUGCUACAAUGGCAUAUACAAAGAGAAGCGACCUCGCGAGAGCAAGCGGACCUCAUAAAGUAUGUCGUAGUCCGGAUUGGAGUCUGCAACUCGACUCCAUGAAGUCGGAAUCGCUAGUAAUCGUAGAUCAGAAUGCUACGGUGAAUACGUUCCCGGGCCUUGUACACACCGCCCGUCACACCAUGGGAGUGGGUUGCAAAAGAAGUAGGUAGCUUAACCUUCGGGAGGGCGCUUACCACUUUGUGAUUCAUGACUGGGGUGAAGUCGUAACAAGGUAACCGUAGGGGAACCUGCGGUUGGAUCACCUCCUUACCUUAAAGAA